RNAcentral lists this ribosomal RNA (724 nucleotides) under uncultured bacterium. Its description in RNAcentral is "bacterial SSU rRNA". It matches the Rfam family "Bacterial small subunit ribosomal RNA", at positions 26 to 740 of the family's 1533-position model. The record is from RNAcentral.
AAUUGAACGCUGGCGGCAUGCCUAACACAUGCAAGUCGAGCGGCAGCACAGCCCCGCAAGGGGUGGGUGGCGAGCGGCGGACGGGUGAGGAAUGCAUCGGAAUCUGCCCUGUCGUGGGGGAUAACGUAGGGAAACUUACGCUAAUACCGCAUACGACCGAGAGGUGAAAGCGGGGGACCCGAGAGGGCCUCGCGCGGCAGGAUGAGCCGAUGCCCGAUUAGCUGGUUGGUGGGGUAACGGCCCACCAAGGCGACGAUCGGUAGCUGGUCUGAGAGGAUGAUCAGCCACACUGGGACUGAGACACGGCCCAGACUCCUACGGGAGGCAGCAGUGGGGAAUAUUGGACAAUGGGGGCAACCCUGAUCCAGCAAUGCCGCGUGUGUGAAGAAGGCCUUCGGGUUGUAAAGCACUUUUAUCGGGAGCGAAACGCGCCGGGCGAAUACCUCGGCGAACUGACGGUACCUGAUGAAUAAGCACCGGCUAACUUCGUGCCAGCAGCCGCGGUAAUACGAAGGGUGCAAGCGUUAAUCGGAAUUACUGGGCGUAAAGCGUGCGUAGGCGGUACGUUAAGUCUGCCGUGAAAGCCCUGGGCUCAACCUGGGAACGGCGGUGGAUACUGGCGUGCUGGAGUGCGGUAGAGGAGGGUGGAAUUCCCGGUGUAGCGGUGAAAUGCGUAGAGAUCGGGAGGAACAUCAGUGGCGAAGGCGGCCCUCUGGACCAGCAC